UGUAACUCAGUUGGUAGAGUGCUCGCUUCGCAUGCGAGAUGUCUAGGGUUCGACUCCCUACUCG
This 64-nucleotide transfer RNA is filed under the name Triparma pacifica. It matches the Rfam family "tRNA", at positions 7 to 64 of the family's 71-position model. Rfam says of the family: Transfer RNA (tRNA) molecules are approximately 80 nucleotides in length. Lineage: Eukaryota; Bolidophyceae; Parmales; Triparmaceae. The record is from RNAcentral.